RNAcentral lists this long non-coding RNA (221 nucleotides) under Pelobates cultripes (western spadefoot toad). The record is from RNAcentral. Lineage: Eukaryota; Metazoa; Chordata; Amphibia; Anura; Pelobatidae.
UGUGACGAAGUGCCUUUCGCCACUUGGUCCUGGAGAGGCCUGCUUGCCAGCCUCCUCCCCUGUGACUAUGACUCUUUGAUGUAUUUGGCUUUAAAGCCCCUAUUCUACCUUCAGACAGACUAUUUAUGUAGGUUGCUUUAUUUCUCUUAUGUUUUAGUUAUCCUGUACCCAUUAUAGGUGCAGGGUGUGUGUAAUGUAAUUGUUUAUAGUGUGUGUGUGUG